AAGGUUUGUAAAGAAAAAGUUUGAGGAGUCAUAUUUCCAAUGCACUGCACCAGAUCGUGUGGACCGUGUGUUUAAGAUCUAUAGAACCACAGCCCUUGAUCAGAAGCUUGUAAAGAAGACAUUCAAACUGGUAGACGAGACCCUGAGAAGGAGAAAUCUCUUCGAAGCAGGUUUAUUAUGAAAUUCUUUAAAUUUUCAAAAGAAAAAAACAGAAAUGUUCAUACUGUGAAAGAUGCAUACAAGUUUUGAACAGUGAGGUUCAAAUACAGAAAAAACAGGCUAUGGUGGUGGGGGUAUCAUAUCAGAUUCAACAAUUUAAGUUUUGUCCAUGUUAGGUCACUAAGCACAUAUUUCUUUCUUUAUCCCGGUAUUGUUAUGCUCUACUUACAAAACAGAUGGUUCAGAACAAAAACUGAUAUUCAAGUAUAUUCUAUUGAUGUUCAUUUUGUUGAAUGUUGUAACAUUCUCACAGCGCAAAG
Molecule: unclassified non-coding RNA, 479 nt
Filed under: Hevea brasiliensis (rubber tree)
Lineage: Eukaryota; Viridiplantae; Streptophyta; Magnoliopsida; Malpighiales; Euphorbiaceae
Source: RNAcentral